Molecule: small nuclear RNA, 105 nt
Organism: Vicugna pacos (alpaca)
Lineage: Eukaryota; Metazoa; Chordata; Mammalia; Artiodactyla; Camelidae
Source: Ensembl
GUGCUCGCUGUAGCAGCCCGUAUGCUAAAAUUGGAACGAUGCAGAGAUUAGCAUGGCCCCCUACGCAAGGAUGACACACAAAUUCAUGAAGCAUUCCAUAUUUUU